RNAcentral lists this ribosomal RNA (497 nucleotides) under uncultured bacterium. Its description in RNAcentral is "partial 16S ribosomal RNA". It matches the Rfam family "Bacterial small subunit ribosomal RNA", at positions 28 to 507 of the family's 1533-position model. The record is from RNAcentral.
GAUGAACGCUGGCGGCGUGCCUAAUACAUGCAAGUCGAGCGAACGGACGAGAAGCUUGCUUCUCUUACGUUAGCGGCGGACGGGUGAGUAACACGUGGAUAACCUACCUAUAAGACUGGGAUAACUUCGUGAAACCGGAACUAAUACCGGCUAAUAUUUUGAACCGCAUGGUUCAAAAGUGAAAGACGGUCUUGCUGUCACUUAUAGAUGGAUCCGCGCUGCAUUAGCUAGUUGGUAAGGUAACGGCUUACCAAGGCAACGAUGCAUAGCCGACCUGAGAGGAUGAUCAGCCACACUGGAACUGAGACACGGUCCAGACUCCUACGGUAGGCAGCAGUAGGGAAUCUUGCGCAAUGGGCGAAAGCCUGACGGAGCAACGCCGCGUGAGUGAUGAAGGUCUUCGGAUCGUAAAACUCUGUUAUUAGGGAAGAACAGAUGUGUAAGUAACUGUGCACAUAUUGACGGUACCUAAUCAGAAAGCCACGGCUAACUACGUG